This 264-nucleotide unclassified non-coding RNA is filed under the name Hevea brasiliensis (rubber tree). Lineage: Eukaryota; Viridiplantae; Streptophyta; Magnoliopsida; Malpighiales; Euphorbiaceae. The record is from RNAcentral.
GCAACAGCAGCCUGAACAAUCUGUUGGAGAAGAACACCUUUAACAACCUCUUUUUUUGACACCAAAUUCUUCUCAUCCUCAUCUUUCUUAGAAUGCAACCUAUAAUUAUCCAUAUUCCCAAGCAUUAAAUACAAUCCUGAAUAUACCCAAUACACAACUAUUGGUAUAAAUGUUCCCAAAACUUCAUCUGACACAUAUCCUCCCUUCCCCUGUUGAUCAAUAUUCACACUACCCACCAUCUCAAAAAUACAAACUAUUACCAAG